Molecule: long non-coding RNA, 704 nt
Filed under: Homo sapiens (human)
Lineage: Eukaryota; Metazoa; Chordata; Mammalia; Primates; Hominidae
Description: HSALNT0315547
Source: RNAcentral
AGUUCGGAAACAAUGCUUGGUGGGAACCUGCAAUCUUGGCUGCCGGAACCUUCGGGGAGGAUUAACGCCGGCGCACCGUGCGGCCGGGGCGGGGCGCCGCCCAAACUCAGGCCCUGUGACAGCGACUGUGGCGGUCUGGAAAGCGUGGGCCUCGGUCAUUGGGCACGAGCGGUCACGUGACAGCGGGUUCCUCCAGGCCAGCGCUGGUGGUUGAGUGAUGUAAUCACGUGGGGUCUGAAGUCUUCGUGGGUGUAGGUUUCUUCGUUAUGCUGACGACAGGCAGUGCCCGAACUCUAGGCUGGGAGUUGUGCCAUGCUGCUGCUUUCGUGGGCUGACCAGAAAAGGGUAGAAGGAUUGACGUUUACGAAGUUUUUGAAUCAGGAGGCAAGGUCGCCUUGUGCCCCCAAAAGGAUAGAAAAAGGCCUGGCAAACUGGAGAAUCGCGUCCUUACGGUGCCUACAUAUUUAUAGUACGAAUUAAACUGCUCAAGGGGUGCUAGGUUUGUCUGCAGUCCGUUUCUCCCUCAUGGUGGAAGACGCGUGGGGAAACUUGGUAUCCUGUGUUUUCCAGUUGAAAGCUUGUGAAAAUUCGCUUUAUCCUUGAAGUUCAGAAUUUUCACCAGGAUGUAUGAAGUAAUAUUCCAUUGUAUGGAUAUGCCAGAGUGUAUUUAUCUACUGACCAGUUGAAGAACAUUUGGAUUGUUU